Molecule: ribosomal RNA, 442 nt
Filed under: uncultured bacterium
Lineage: Bacteria
Description: partial 16S ribosomal RNA
Rfam family: Bacterial small subunit ribosomal RNA
Source: RNAcentral
CCUACGGGUGGCAGCAGUGGGGGAUAUUGCACAAUGGGGGAAACCCUGAUGCAGCGACGCCGCGUGAGGGAAGACGGCCUUCGGGUUGUAAACCUCUGUCGCAGGGGACGAAGGAAGUGACGGUACCCUGUGAGGAAGCCACGGCUAACUACGUGCCAGCAGCCGCGGUAAUACGUAGGUGGCGAGCGUUGUCCGGAAUUACUGGGUGUAAAGGGAGCGUAGGCGGGAGUGCAAGUUGAAUGUAUAAACUAUCGGCUCAACUGAUAGAAGCGUUCAAAACUGCACUUCUUGAGUGAAGUAGAGGCAGGCGGAAUUCCUAGUGUAGCGGUGAAAUGCGUAGAUAUUAGGAGGAACACCAGUGGCGAAGGCGGCCUGCUGGGCUUUAACUGACGCUGAGGCUCGAAAGCGUGGGUAGCAAACAGGAUUAGAUACCCCUGUAGUC